UAGGGAAUCUUCGGCAAUGGGGGGAACCCUGACCGAGCAACGCCGCGUGAGUGAAGAAGGUUUUCGGAUCGUAAAGCUCUGUUGUUAAGGAAGAACGAGUGUGAGAAUGGAAAGUUCAUACUGUGACGGUACUUAACCAGAAAGGGACGGCUAACUACGUGCCAGCAGCCGCGGUAAUACGUAGGUCCCGAGCGUUGUCCGGAUUUAUUGGGCGUAAAGCGAGCGCAGGCGGUUAGAUAAGUCUGAAGUUAAAGGCAGUGGCUCAACCAUUGUAGGCUUUGGAAACUGUUUAACGAGAGUGCAGAAGGGGAGAGUAGAUUUCCGUGUGUAGCGGUGAAAUGCGUAGAUAUAUGGAGGAACACCGGUGGAGAAAGCGGCUCUCUGGUCUGUAACUGACGCUGGGGCUCGAAAGCGUGGGGAGCGAACAGG
RNAcentral lists this ribosomal RNA (429 nucleotides) under Bacteroidota bacterium. Its description in RNAcentral is "Bacteroidetes bacterium partial 16S ribosomal RNA". It matches the Rfam family "Bacterial small subunit ribosomal RNA", at positions 355 to 776 of the family's 1533-position model. The record is from RNAcentral. Lineage: Bacteria; Pseudomonadati; Bacteroidota.